RNAcentral lists this ribosomal RNA (253 nucleotides) under uncultured bacterium. RNAcentral describes it as "partial 16S ribosomal RNA". It matches the Rfam family "Bacterial small subunit ribosomal RNA", at positions 524 to 776 of the family's 1533-position model. The record is from RNAcentral.
UACGAAGGGUGCAAACGUUGCUCGGAAUUAUUGGGCGUAAAGCGCACGUAGGCGGCUUUGCAAGUCGGAUGUGAAAUCCCUCGGCUUAACCAAGGAAGUGCAUCCGAAACUGCAGAGCUUGAGUACUUAAGAGGAUCGCGGAAUUCCCGGUGUAGAGGUGAAAUUCGUAGAUAUCGGGAGGAACACCAGUGGCGAAGGCGGCGAUCUGGGAAGAUACUGACGCUGAGGUGCGAAAGCGCGGGGAGCAAACAGG